Molecule: ribosomal RNA, 240 nt
Filed under: uncultured Lactobacillus sp.
Lineage: Bacteria; Bacillati; Bacillota; Bacilli; Lactobacillales; Lactobacillaceae
Description: partial 16S ribosomal RNA
Rfam family: Bacterial small subunit ribosomal RNA
Source: RNAcentral
CCUGCCCAAGAGAUCGGGAUAACACCUGGAAACAGAUGCUAAUACCGGAUAACAACAGAUGAUGCCUAUCAACUGUUUAAAAGAUGGUUCUGCUAUCACUCUUGGAUGGACCUGCGGUGCAUUAGCUAGUUGGUAGGGUAACCGGGCCUACCAAGGCGAUGAUGCAUAGCCCGAGUUGAGAGACUGAUCGGCCACAUUGGGACUGAGACACGGCCCAAACUCCUACGGGAGGCAGCAGUG